ACUCCUACGGGAGGCAGCAGUGGGGAAUAUUGCACAAUGGGCGCAAGCCUGAUGCAGCAACGCCGCGUGAGCGAAGAAGGUCUUCGGAUCGUAAAGCUCUUUUCUUAGGGAAGAAAAAUGACGGUACCUAAGGAAUAAGCACCGGCUAAAUACGUGCCAGCAGCCGCGGUAAUACGUAUGGUGCAAGCGUUAUCCGGAAUCACUGGGCGUAAAGGGUGCGUAGGCGGCUUAGCAAGCCAGGGGUGAAAGGCAUUGGCUCAACCAAUGUAAGCCUUUGGAACUGUUAAGCUUGAGUGCAGGAGAGGUAAGUGGAAUUCCUAGUGUAGAGGUGAAAUUCGUAGAUAUUAGGAGGAACACCAGUGGCGAAGGCGACUUACUGGACUGUAACUGACGCUGAUGCACGAAAGCGUGGGUAGCGAACAGGAUUAGAUACCCUGGUAGCACAGAGC
Molecule: ribosomal RNA, 449 nt
Filed under: uncultured bacterium
Lineage: Bacteria
Description: bacterial SSU rRNA
Rfam family: Bacterial small subunit ribosomal RNA
Source: RNAcentral